This 717-nucleotide ribosomal RNA is filed under the name Bacillus proteolyticus. Its description in RNAcentral is "bacterial SSU rRNA". It matches the Rfam family "Bacterial small subunit ribosomal RNA", at positions 797 to 1533 of the family's 1533-position model. Lineage: Bacteria; Bacillati; Bacillota; Bacilli; Caryophanales; Bacillaceae. The record is from RNAcentral.
GGGGCCUAAGAUGAAUGCUAAGUGUUAGAGGGUUUCCGCCCUUUAGUGCUGAAGUUAACGCAUUAAGCACUCCGCCUGGGGAGUACGGCCGCAAGGCUGAAACUCAAAGGAAUUGACGGGGGCCCGCACAAGCGGUGGAGCAUGUGGUUUAAUUCGAAGCAACGCGAAGAACCUUACCAGGUCUUGACAUCCUCUGAAAACCCUAGAGAUAGGGCUUCUCCUUCGGCGAGCAGAGUGACAGGUGGUGCAUGGUUGUCGUCAGCUCGUGUCGUGAGAUGUUGGGUUAAGUCCCGCAACGAGCGCAACCCUUGAUCUUAGUUGCCAUCAUUAAGUUGGGGCACUCUAAAGUGACUGCCAGUGACAAACCGGAGGAAGGUGGGGAUGACGUCAAAUCAUCAUGCCCCUUAUGACCUGGGCUACACACGUGCUACAAUGGACGGUACAAAGAGCUGCGGGGACCGCGAGGUGGAGCUAAUCUCAUAAAACCGUUCUCAGUUCGGAUUGUAGGCUGCAACUCGCCUACGUGAAGCUGGAAUCGCUAGUAAUUCGCGGAUCAUCAUGCCGCGGUGAAUACUGUUCCCCGGGGCCUUGUACACACCGCGGGGUCACACCACGGAGAGGUUUGUAACACCCGAAGUCGCUUGGAGGUAACAAAUUUUGGGAACCCCCCCUUUCCUAAGGGUGGCCACUCCAUUGAUUUGGGGGGGGAAAGUCCCA